AGCUGAGAUGGCAGAAAGUGCGGUAGGUUGUAGCCCUAAUAAUAUGAUAAGUUAUCGUUCUCGGUA
This 66-nucleotide transfer RNA is filed under the name Anadara cornea. RNAcentral's name for it is "tRNA-Tyr". Lineage: Eukaryota; Metazoa; Mollusca; Bivalvia; Arcoida; Arcidae. The record is from RNAcentral.